Long non-coding RNA from Brassica napus (rape), 3723 nucleotides. RefSeq lists it as uncharacterized. NCBI's taxonomy places the organism in Eukaryota, Viridiplantae, Streptophyta, Magnoliopsida, Brassicales, Brassicaceae. The transcript is spliced from 9 exons. The record is from RefSeq and is a predicted model, not a curated record.
AUGAAAUGUGCAGCACUUUGAAGAGUUUAUUCGUAGCCAUUACUUUGUAAGGGCUCGCGAUAUAGUGAAAGCAGCCAAUGCUUAUAUAGACGGUGCUCCUGUUGGUUCCAUAGUUAAAGGUACUAGCCAGGGCGGGUCCAUGAAGUUUAGAACCGAAGUGGCUGUCUUUAUGAAGACAGUUGUGGAUGAGUUCGUUAAACUAGGAGUCAAGGAGCUUCAAGAUAAACUGAAACCACCACCUGUGAUUCAUACUAACACAUCGAGGCUGUGUUUUAUAUUUAGUAUGCUAUGUUUAUUGUUUAUUUUGUUGGUGGUGGUUCAUGGUAGCAUCAAAGACAAGUUAUCAAUACUCGCCUAACACGGACGGAGUAGAGCAAUGCUUUUUUUUUUUUGCUUUACUAGGUGGACAAGUAGUUUUUAAAUUAUUUAUUUAUCAGCAACUAAACCAGUGCCUUUAAUCGAUUCUUUUGUUUUGAUUUGAAAUCUCUCAACUUAAUAAAUAAAUAAAUAAAAUACAACCCGAAUUGGUUGACUGUCAGGCCAUAACCUGGUGGUCAUGUUCAAAUAGACAAAUAUCGGGGUGGAUUUGGAUAUAUAUGAACCGUAACUCACAUUGGGUAGUCCGUACAGAACAAUAUUUUUUUAAAAUCUACUGGGGAAUGGGUUGUUUGGAGGCUGGGUUGUCUCGAUUAACAUUUUGAAACUAAGCAUGUUGAAUCUUUUGAUGUAAUAUAAAGAUUAUGAAUAAUAUAAGAAAUACUUGUUUCCCUAAAUUUUCUAUUUUUAUUUAAAAAAUUUGAGCCAGUUAAAAUCAAAGGUCAAUAUGAAGCUCUCUAAGCUAUGUCACCUCAGCAAAAAAAUUUACAACCUAUCAAAUUGUCAUCUCAUCACAAAUAACAAAAAAAAUCAUUUUAUGUCAAUUUAUAAUUUUGCUAUCUCUCUUUUCGUUUUGUUCCUCAAAUCAAUUUUUUUCCUUUAAUAUUCAUCUUCUCAAUCCUCGGCGGAUCUGAUUCCGAUAUGUGUUUCUCUGUUACUUGAUUCGUUUACUCUGUUACUAUGUUCUUUGUUACUGUUACUUGCUUUGUCCCAUCGGUACGUUUAAUCUUCUUGCUGCUUUUACGAGCCCGUAAAACGUUACGAUUUCUUUGUUUCAUCAUCGCUUUUUUAUUAUUAAGCUUUUGUGAGAUUGUUUUUGCUGAUAUUUUGUUUUGAUUUGGUUUUUGACAUAUCAUUAACGACCGUGAGACGGGAAGGUCAAGGGGAUUCGGAUUCGUGACCUUCAAGGAUGAGAUGAACGGAAAGGAGCUCGACGGACGUACCAUUACCGUCAACGAGGCUCAGUCUAGAGGAAGCGGCGGUGGAGGUGGAUACGGUGGCCGUGGAGGUGGCGAUUUCUGGAUUAUGAUCUUUAUGGGUUUCAGCCCCCAAAAUCAAUGCGUGGACGGAUUCAGAUUUGUUAUCCUCAUAUUGUGGAUCACUGCAUCAACAUGGGUUUGCAAGGGACAAAAUAUGGGUAAUCGAUGACAAUCUACCUCCACGAGUUCUUAAAAUCAUCAUUAGUUGAUCUUCAUCUCAAACCAUCGGAAGAGGACUUAAAAGCAAUGGUCUGACAGAUGGCCACUCAACAUUGAUUUCUUUAGAAACAUCAAUGGCAAACUCUUCAGAUUCUUAUUUGCAUAUCAUACUUACCUCGCUGUCUCAGAUAUAAGGGUUAGAAACAUUUGAGCACUUGGAGAACCUCAGCAAAAAGGAGCUUUUAACAGAACAAGGCGACAUCAAUAACCUUUAAAUCUGAGAUGGACCAGACUUACCUUGGAUUGCCCAAAAUGGUAGCAGUUCUUGAUCAUGAACGGAAAAGAACACAUGUUAUUGGAAAAGAAUGACUUCUAAACACGUGAUGAUGCAGUUGCAUGUAAACCAUGGGAAAGGUGAAAUUUAGGGGACGAUGAGUACAAAAGCAUACUUUGUGUGGAUGGUUAUUACUUUGAAGCCAUGAGAAGAUUUGACAACAGAGCAGUAUGCUUUUAAUCGCUGUUAAGAUCAGUCUCUGCUUUGAUCAACUUGAACAACAGAGAAAAGGAUUCUGAUUCUGUCUGUUUUGGAAUCCCAUCCUAAAAAAAAUCAUCCACUACAGAGAUCAUGCAGAAGAAUAAGCUUGAUAAUGUAUUUCACUAAAAUCUUAUUGCAGAUGCUGGCUUUUUCUUACCAGUCUUACAAGAAAGGCCCAGUUCCAAGAAGUUGAGCUGGAAAAACAGCCAAGCAGCUCAAAGAGGCGUUUACAAUCUCUAGCGAAGAAACGACCAGAUGUGCGGCAACAAAAAAAGGUUAUCAUAUCUCUUACCGCAUAAGUAAUUUCAAAGAUCAAAAUUAGUAAUAUGCUUUAUGCGAGUACGAGUGAUUUCUUAUGACUCCGUUAUCAGCAUCACUGAAAUUAUGUUGGUGAAAUACAUGGCUGAAAUAUUACCCGUUCGAUCAGCUCGAACUGUGAAGUCUCCUCCGUCCCUUGAUUCAUUUGGUUCCAGUCCAGGCCGCAUUGACCGUCAUAAUAUCUUAAACCAACCAAAUGGGAACGCGAGCAAAAUGGUGUAAAUACCACAAUGUUUUCUAAUUGGACCAUUACACAUGUACUUGGAAAUGGAGAAGCAUCGACUGAAGCACAUAACAAGAAUGAAUGGGUUGAGAAAGAUGCGCCUGACGUCUACAUCAUUCUUACAGCCUUAGCCAGUGGUGUUACCGACCUCAAACGUGUCCGUUUCAGCCGAAAAGUGAGAAACAAACGUAAUAGUGGUGGCCAGAUAACAGAGGAAGAGUCUACGAACAAUACAAUAUACGAAUGGUCGACAAAACCAGUACAGAAAUGCCUCACUGAGACUCUUUUACCCAACCACUUCUCUGAUUUUCCCAAGCCCCCGAGGCAUCUGAGUGCAAAUAUUGGGAUAUAACAUAUCUUCUAUAUAUAAAGAGAAAAUUUAAAGUUUUGAAAGUGUUUUACGUCUUCUUUCAUUGUAGUUUGGGGGCUCUGUGGUUUGUACGUAUGUUGAUGUCAUCACAAAUAAUAUAAUGAAAAUACACAAAACACCAGUCUUUAUGUGAAUAGCAGUUCCAAAAGAAAGUUUAAAUAGAAAUGUUAUAUACUCCGUCUGUUUCAAAAUAUAUGAUGUUUUAAAACGUUAAUGUUGUUUCAAAAUAUAUAAUGUUUGGAAAUUUUAGGGUUAACUUUAUAAUUGGUUGAAUGAUUUUAAAAUUAUAUCUUUAAAAGUAAUUUUUAGAAGAACGUAGUUUUCUUAAUCUUUGUGCACUACGUCAAAACAUCAUAUAUUAUGAAAGUGAAGGAGUAUACUACAAAACGUUUGUUGCUGUAAAAUAUGUUUUUUAAUACUAACAAUUCUGAUUCCUUAUACUAAAAUACAUCUAAAAUUAUAGUGAUUUGUCAAGUUUAAAACCUACUCACAUGGAGUAUAUCAAUAUACCAAAAUUGGGUUAUGGUUUUAGUAUUGUCUUAUGAAAUCAAAGCAAUCUGAUUACUCAAUUAAAAACAGAAAAUUAUUUCAAACCACCAUCCCGUUUUAUAUAAAAGUAUAUUGUAGAUCAAGUGGUUAAGUAAAUCUCUAUGGGACAAUUAAAUAUCGCAGUCCAAAGAAUAUGUAGUCGGAAAAUAAAGUUGUGACAUCACAAGCAUUAUCUUAAAAUAUAUUAAAGAAAAAUAAACACAUAUUUUUAAAA